UACGGAGGGGGCUAGCGUUGUUCGGAAUUACUGGGCGUAAAGCGCACGUAGGCGGCUUUGUAAGUUAGAGGUGAAAGCCCGGGGCUCAACUCCGGAACUGCCUUUAAGACUGCAUCGCUAGAAUUGUGGAGAGGUAAGUGGAAUUCCGAGUGUAGAGGUGAAAUUCGUAGAUAUUCGGAAGAACACCAGUGGCGAAGGCGACUUACUGGACACAUAUUGACGCUGAGGUGCGAAAGCGUGGGGAGCAAACAGG
RNAcentral lists this ribosomal RNA (253 nucleotides) under uncultured bacterium. RNAcentral describes it as "partial 16S ribosomal RNA". It matches the Rfam family "Bacterial small subunit ribosomal RNA", at positions 524 to 776 of the family's 1533-position model. The record is from RNAcentral.